UGUGGGAGCGGGCUUGCCCGCGAUGGCGGUGUGUCGGCCGAUAUCAAUGUUGGAUGUACCGGCCUCAUCGCGGGCAAGCCCGCUCCCACA
This 90-nucleotide unclassified non-coding RNA is filed under the name Pseudomonas arsenicoxydans. Lineage: Bacteria; Pseudomonadati; Pseudomonadota; Gammaproteobacteria; Pseudomonadales; Pseudomonadaceae. The record is from RNAcentral.